ACGGAAGCAAAUAGACUCGUAAGCCGAGGUAUAUUAAAUGUGGCUGGCCCCGCCCAUUUGUCCCGAAGAGGAGAAAGUUGUGACGUGUGACGCAGACUCUCCACCUGUCUUAUAUCCUCAACCUACAGAAAUCAGUUCCGGGAAUUUCGAAGUCGACGCACUCCUGGGGAAAUUUUAACUACGUCAUCAACCUCUGUGCUCUUCAAUUGAAGUGGUGAAAGAGCUGGUGCAGAUGCCGCUGGAGUUCGUGGGGUAUGGAGCCCUCGGCGGGGCCGUCCACUUGCUCGAGAAGGACCUGUUUGCGCUGCCCAGCUCCCUGCACCACCGUCUGUCUGAGGGUCUGACCUUCACGCACGUGGGCCCUGCAACACGGAGAGGAGCCCAGAACGGGACGGAAUACACCCUCCUCAACUGAUACCACAGACUCUGAGGAGGAUGCUUUAAAGUCGAGCAACCUGUCCUGAAGGAGUGGUUUGUCGAGGUCCGAAGACUCAGAAUCUGGAAACAAUACACUGCUGCCAAAUAAGAGACAAUCGAUUCUGGUGUACAUGACCUGCAGUUGAAAUAUUGGUUAUCCUCAAUUUUGGCUAUGUCAACAUGAGGAACAGGGGAGUCUGGAGAAAGAACCCUGAAUUCACAUUGUGACACCACAGACUCUGGGGAGGAUGCUCUGAAGUCGAACAACCAUUCCCGAAGGAGUGAUGUGUCCUGAUCAGAGGAAACACAAUCUGGAGAAAAUGCCCUGCUGCUAUGUGAUGUAUCAAGUUCCAAUUCUGACAAAACUGAUUGUGGAGAGAUUGGUCUGGCCUCAUCAAAAAGGACAAAAUAAUCCCUUCUCAACUGAUACCACAGACUCUGGGGAAGAUACUCUGAGGUUUAACAACCAUUUCUGAAGGAGUGACCUGUCCUGAUCAGAGGAAACUAAAUCUGGAGACAAUGCCCUGCUGCUAUGUAAGAGACAAUCGAUUCUGGUGUGCAUGACCUGCAGUUGAAAUAUUGGUUAUCCUCAAUUUUGGCUAUGUCAACACGAGGAACAGGGGAGUCUGGAGAAAGAACCCUGAAUUCACAUUGUGACACCACAGACUCUGGGGAGGAUGCUCUGAAGUCGAACAACCAUUCCCAAAGGAGUGAUGUGUCCUGAUCAGAGGAAACAGAAUCUGGAGACAAUGCCCUGCUGCUAUGUGAGGACAAAAUAAGCCCUUCUCAACUGAUACCACAGACUCUGGGGAAGAUACUCUGAGGUCUAACAACCAGUUCUGAAGGAGUGACCUGUCCUGAUCAGAGGAAACUAAAUCUGGAGACAAUGCCCUGCUGCUAUGUAAGAGACAAUCGAUUCUGGUGUGCAUGACCUGCAGUUGAAAUAUUGGUGAUCCUCAAUUUUGGCUAUGUCAACAUGAGGAACAGGGGAGUCUGGAGAAAGAACCCUGAAUUCACAUUGUGACACCGCAGACUCUGGGGAGGAUGCUCUGAAGUUGAACAACCAUUCCCGAAGGAGUGAUGUGUCUUGAUCAGAAGAAACAGAAUCUGGAGACAAUGCCCUGCUGCUAUGCGAGGUAUCAAGUUCCAAUUCUGACAAAACUGAUUGUGGAGAGAUUGGUCUGGCCUCAUCAAAAAGGACAAAAUAAGCCCUUCUCAACUGUUACCACAGACUUUGGGGAAGAUACUCUGAGGUUUAACAACCAGUUCUGAAGGAGUGACCUGUCCUGAUCAGAGGAAACAAAAUCUGGAGACAAUGCCCUGCUGCUAUGUAAGAGACAAUCGAUUCUGGUGUGCAUGACCUGCAGUUGAAAUAUUGGUGAUCCUCAAUUUUGGCUAUGUCAACAUGAGGAACAGGGGAGUCUGGAGAAAGAACC
This is a long non-coding RNA of Entelurus aequoreus (snake pipefish), 1853 nucleotides long. RefSeq lists it as uncharacterized. The transcript is spliced from 11 exons. NCBI's taxonomy places the organism in Eukaryota, Metazoa, Chordata, Actinopteri, Syngnathiformes, Syngnathidae. The record is from RefSeq and is a predicted model, not a curated record.